AGAGAGAGACAUGCGCGCAUAUCAAUAAGCGGAGGAAAAGAAACUAACAAGGAUUCCCCUAAGUAACGGCGAGUGAAGCGGGAAGAGCUCAAAUUUGAAAUCUUAAAGGGUUUCCCUUUACGAAUUGUAGUUUAAAGAAGUGUUUUCUGUUGAGGUUUUGGUAAAAGUUCUUUGGAAUAGGACAUCAUAGAGGGUGAGAAUCCCGUAUUUGACCUUUACUUUCAACUUUGUGAUACACUUUCAAAGAGUCGGAUUGUUUGGGAAUGCAGUCCAAAAUGGGUGGUAAAUUUCAUCUAAAGCUAAAUAUUGGCGAGAGACCGAUAGCGAACAAGUACCGUGAGGGAAAGAUGAAAAGAACUUUGAAAAGAGAGUUAAACAGUACGUGAAAUUGUCAAAAGGGAAGCGUUUGACACCAGUGUUGUUUUUCUGAAAAUCAAUUAAAGAACUGUUUAUGCUAAGUUGUUUAGACUUUAUCAGCUAACUGUUUAGUUUUGAGCUUUUCUUUAAUGCACUUUUCAGUUAACAAGUCAACAUCAAUUUCUUUUGCUGUAAAAAAGCUUGAGGAAGGUGGCUUGAGAUUCGUCUUAAGUGUUUAUAGCCUCUUGCCUAUGCAGUCGGAGAGAUUGAGGUCUGCAGCGUAGAUCCUUCGGGGCUAAAUGCAUUUGUGCUAAGUUAUAGCAUUUUAUAGACAACUUGUUGACUAUGAUUUGUCUUGUAGCUUACUCGCUUAUGUUAUUUUACCUACGCUUAGGAUGUUGAGCGCAUGUCUCUCUCU
Molecule: ribosomal RNA, 775 nt
Filed under: uncultured Neocallimastigales
Lineage: Eukaryota; Fungi; Neocallimastigomycota; Neocallimastigomycetes; Neocallimastigales
Description: partial large subunit ribosomal RNA
Rfam family: Eukaryotic large subunit ribosomal RNA
Source: RNAcentral